CAGGCCUAACACAUGCAAGUCGAACGGUAACAGGUCAAGCUGACGAGUGGCGAACGGGUGAGUAAUACAUCGGAACGUGCCCAGUAGUGGGGGAUAGCCCGGCGAAAGCCGGAUUAAUACCGCAUACGACCUAUGGGUGAAAGCGGGGGAUCGCAAGACCUCGCGCUAUUGGAGCGGCCGAUGGCAGAUUAGGUAGUUGGUGGGGUAAAGGCCUACCAAGCCUGCGAUCUGUAGCUGGUCUGAGAGGACGACCAGCCACACUGGGACUGAGACACGGCCCAGACUCCUACGGGAGGCAGCAGUGGGGAAUUUUGGACAAUGGGCGCAAGCCUGAUCCAGCCAUGCCGCGUGCGGGAAGAAGGCCUUCGGGUUGUAAACCGCUUUUGUCAGGGAAGAAAAGCUCUGGGUUAAUACCUUGGGGUGAUGACGGUACCUGAAGAAUAAGCACCGGCUAACUACGUGCCAGCAGCCGCGGUAAU
Molecule: ribosomal RNA, 479 nt
Filed under: uncultured bacterium
Lineage: Bacteria
Description: bacterial SSU rRNA
Rfam family: Bacterial small subunit ribosomal RNA
Source: RNAcentral